UUGUCGCGUCUGUCGUGAAAGUCCGGGGCUUAACCCCGGAUCUGCGGUGGGUACGGGCAGACUAGAGUGCAGUAGGGGAGACUGGAAUUCCUGGUGUAGCGGUGGAAUGCGCAGAUAUCAGGAGGAACACCGAUGGCGAAGGCAGGUCUCUGGGCUGUAACUGACGCUGAGGAGCGAAAGCAUGGGGAGCGAACAGGAUUAGAUACCCUGGUAGUCCAUGCCGUAAACGUUGGGCACUAGGUGUGGGGACCAUUCCACGGUUUCCGCGCCGCAGCUAACGCAUUAAGUGCCCCGCCUGGGGAGUACGGCCGCAAGGCUAAAACUCAAAGGAAUUGACGGGGGCCCGCACAAGCGGCGGAGCAUGCGGAUUAAUUCGAUGCAACGCGAAGAACCUUACCAAGGCUUGACAUGUUCUCGAUCGCCGUAGAGAUACGGUUUCCCCUUUGGGGCGGGUUCACAGGUGGUGCAUGGUUGUCGUCAGCUCGUGUCGUGAGAUGUUGGGUUAAGUCCCGCAACGAGCGCAACCCUCGUUCCAUGUUGCCAGCACGUCGUGGUGGGGACUCAUGGGAGACUGCCGGGGUCAACUCGGAGGAAGGUGAGGACGACGUCAAAUCAUCAUGCCCCUUAUGUCUUGGGCUUCACGCAUGCUACAAUGGCCGGUACAAUGGGUUGCGAUACUGUGAGGUGGAGCUAAUCCCAAAAAGCCGGUCUCAGUUCGGAUUGGGGUCUGCAACUCGACCCCAUGAAGUCGGAGUCGCUAGUAAUCGCAGAUCAGCAACGCUGCGGUGAAUACGUUCCCGGGCCUUGUACACACCGCCCGUCAAGUCACGAAAGUUGGUAACACCCGAAGCCGG
Molecule: ribosomal RNA, 854 nt
Filed under: Micrococcus sp.
Lineage: Bacteria; Bacillati; Actinomycetota; Actinomycetes; Micrococcales; Micrococcaceae
Description: bacterial SSU rRNA
Rfam family: Bacterial small subunit ribosomal RNA
Source: RNAcentral